UAAAAGCUCGCCACUUUGUCACCCAGACAACCAGCUUUCAGAGACCAAGCAGAUUCCCACAACAUCACUUGCAUCACUUGCAUCGCUCUGAACCGAUCUCUCACAGCCAUGAGGACACUGGUGCUGAUUCUGGUGUUGGCCGCAGCCGCCAUGUCGGCUCAUGUUCCGGAAGAACGGGACUUGGACGCAGCUGGUUGGCUUACAGGUUCUCUGGGUCAAGCUGGUCCUUUGUCUUCGGUUACAGGUUCUCUGGGUCAAGCUGGUCCUUUGUCUUCGGUUACAGGUUCUCUGGGUCAAGCGGGUCCUUUGUCUUCGGUUACAGGUUCUCUGGGUCAAGCGGGUCCUUUGUCUUCGGUUACAGGUUCUCUGGGUCAAGCUGGUCCUUUGUCUUCGGUUACAGGUUCUCUGGGUCAAGCUGGUCCUUUGUCUUCGGUUACAGGUUCUCUGGGUCAAGCGGGUCCUUUGUCUUCGGUUACAGGUUCUCUGGGUCAAGCGGGUCCUUUGUCUUCGGUUACAGGUUCUCUGGGUCAAGGUGGUCCUUUGUCUUCGCUUACAGGUUCUCUGGGUGUAGGUUCUUUGACUUCGGUUGCAGGGGGUAUAACUGGUGUUGUGUCUAUCACACCCAUCCUUACUCUCCUCUCCACGGCCUUAAGUCUGGUCACUAGUCUUCUCAACACGCUAGCUGGCGUCACAUCAGCUCUUUCUGUUGUCCUUUCCCUUGUCUCAUUGGCUGUGCGAUUUGCCAUAACCGUAUUGACCAGACUUCAACCGUGCAGCAGUACCCUCGUCAGCGCAUCGACCAGCAUCAUUUCGACCACCACCAUUUCCGCAGUGACGAAUGCUUUGAGUAGUUUCCAAGCAAGUUUGAAUAAUGCGUGUCUUGGUGGACGUUGAACAACGCUUCUUCUGACGACCUUCCUCGAUUGACCGUUAUGAACAAGAUUGACCGCUAUGAACAAGACUGACCGUAUCCCAUGAUGCACUGAAAUACUCUACCAGCCCCAGGGCAGCACACACUCGUGAUGACUGUCCGUUACGGCUUGUGUUAGAGAACAAUAAACAAUAAACAUGGCUCUGUCCUGCA
This is a long non-coding RNA of Pomacea canaliculata, 1084 nucleotides long. RefSeq lists it as uncharacterized. The transcript has 4 exons. The record is from RefSeq and is a predicted model, not a curated record. Lineage: Eukaryota; Metazoa; Mollusca; Gastropoda; Architaenioglossa; Ampullariidae.